AAAAAGAUAAGCUAAUAAAGCUAAAGGGUUCAUACCCCUUAUAUAAAGGUUAUAGUCCUUUUCUUUUUA
RNAcentral lists this transfer RNA (69 nucleotides) under Episcapha fortunii. RNAcentral's name for it is "tRNA-Met". It matches the Rfam family "tRNA". From Rfam's summary of the family: Transfer RNA (tRNA) molecules are approximately 80 nucleotides in length. Their secondary structure includes four short double-helical elements and three loops (D, anti-codon, and T loops). Lineage: Eukaryota; Metazoa; Arthropoda; Insecta; Coleoptera; Erotylidae. The record is from RNAcentral.